AACGAACGCUGGCGGCGUGCCUAACACAUGCAAGUCGAACGUGAAAAUCUUCGGAUGAGUAAAGUGGCGUACGGGUGAGUAACACGUGGGUCAUCUACCUUAAAGCCUGGAAUAACCUGCCGAAAGGCGGGCUAAUACUGGAUAGAUCGAUUUUAUCGGGAAAGGGAGCUGGUAACAGCCCUCACUUUAAGAUGAGCCCGCGUCCCAUUAGUUAGUUGGUGAGGUAAUGGCUCACCAAGACGAUGAUGGGUAGCUGGUCUGAGAGGAUGAUCAGCCACACUGGGACUGAGACACGGCCCAGACUCCUACGGGAGGCAGCAGUAGGGAAUCUUCCGCAAUGGACGAAAGUCUGACGGAGCAACGCCGCGUGAGCGAAGAAGGCCUUCGGGUCGUAAAGCUCUGUUGUUAGGGAAGAACAAGUACCGUUCGAAUAGGGCGGUACCUUGACGGUACCUGACGAGAAAGCCACGGCUAACUACGUGCCAGCCGCCGCAGUAA
Molecule: ribosomal RNA, 498 nt
Filed under: uncultured bacterium
Lineage: Bacteria
Description: partial 16S ribosomal RNA
Rfam family: Bacterial small subunit ribosomal RNA
Source: RNAcentral